GAUGGUGGUGGAAUUGAGGAGGGGGAUGGGGGGAAACCGCUGCAUGGCUCGCGCCCGCGCACACAACUUCAGCUCGCGCACUGCAGCAGCGGCAGCGGAGACGCGCGUCCACGGUGGGGCGGGACUCGGGAGCUCGGAGAAGCUACAAUAGACCGAAGUGCUUCCAAAACUUGUCUUAAAGAUUCAUCAGCACCUCAGGUAAUAGCAGAGGAUGGAAAUGACUGAGAGUAGAAAGGCUGACUUCGGAAGAAUUUUAAGGUUCUCCACAGUUUUGGAUUUAUAGUUAGAUGCCUGCAUUGUGAAUCUAUUCUAUACCAUUUCACAUGCUACUGAUUUUCUGUCUCAUGUUAUAAAACUUGCAAACAAUCCUCUGAAAAAAGGCUAACAUUGGCACCUGGGAGGGGGAUGCAGCUGAGAAGAGAGGAUGUCAUAUCUCAUGCUGACGUGCUUGGGCCUCUUCAUGAACUCAAGGUUGGUAUGGGGGGAGGGUAUUAGUUAUCUCCUUCUUGCACAAAGGAGUGGACAUGGAGGCCCCUUUCCAUACUUUGGUAUGGCUGUAGCUUCUGAUAAGGACACUAAUUACCGCUCCCCAUCUGGAGCUAUGCUGACCAUGUUUAUCUUAGUAAAAAGCAAAGUUGUCUCUUGUUUGUUCAGCUUCUCUUAGCCAAUAUUGUUCCCAGUGGGCUAGGCCCCCAGCUCAAACCAAGCUUUGGACUUUGGGCCUAUGUGAAAAGUUGCUGACAGGACUUGUGGUCAGGGUUUUACAAACACAGCAAAUGGAUUUUGGCCCUUCAUAUAUAUUACAGGUUUCAAAGCGGUAGCCGUGUUAGUCUGUAUCAGCAAAAACAACGAGUCUUUUUAUGGACACCACGGAAGCAGCCUUGCAUACACUCAAGGACUCCCAUGCCAUGCUGAAAACC
Molecule: long non-coding RNA, 920 nt
Organism: Dermochelys coriacea (leatherback sea turtle)
Lineage: Eukaryota; Metazoa; Chordata; Testudines; Dermochelyidae
Exons: 3
Source: RefSeq, a predicted model, not a curated record